AAACCUGAAAAUAAAACAUCGAUACACUGGGUUUUUCUAUUUCAUUAAUUCUUUUUAAGUACCUUAUGUACUCAAUUGAAAUCUCUCUUUUUAAAGACCUAAAGAAAGAAGAGUUGGAAGCAGUCUUUGCCUUAGAUUCUUCCAAGACAAGUCUCUCAGGUAAAAAGCCCAGCAUCCUUGCUGUUACAGGUGAGGUUGCCUAGCAACUCUCAUCCACCACCUGAAUCUGCCUAAAUGCAUCAGUUCCAAGAGCCACUAGCCUGUGGAUCAGUUACUAAGACAGAAAAUGAAGACAAAGAUGAAGACAUUAGAGAAGUACCCCACAGAGUAGAAAAUGUGGAAGACACUGUCCUGGAUUGCAAGAAUGGAAGCCAACCCCAAGAAUGAUAGAGAAGAGCCUACAUGUGGCCUCAGGUUACAUACCCUAGAUAUUUACAAAAGAGAUAAAUAAAUUUCUGUGUUAGCAGACCUUGUUGUUGUUUAUUUGCUAAGAUGUGUCUGACUGCCCUGUUAAUUUUGUCAUUGUUUCUGCAGUCUAAAUUAAUUUUGUCUGACACAGGUAGC
RNAcentral lists this long non-coding RNA (564 nucleotides) under Ovis aries (sheep). RNAcentral describes it as "lncRNA (ENSOARG00000026093.1)". The record is from RNAcentral. Lineage: Eukaryota; Metazoa; Chordata; Mammalia; Artiodactyla; Bovidae.